This 612-nucleotide unclassified non-coding RNA is filed under the name Hevea brasiliensis (rubber tree). The record is from RNAcentral. Lineage: Eukaryota; Viridiplantae; Streptophyta; Magnoliopsida; Malpighiales; Euphorbiaceae.
CUAGUAGAGCUCAUUUGUUCUCCUGUCACUGCCUAGAUCAUCAACCAAGAAAAGUAGCGCUAGCUACCCUAACAAGACCAAGAGCAAGAAUCAUCAAUCAAUGGCAAUAGCUAUAGCUACAAUGGCAAUGCUUAAUGCCAAGUGCUUGAGCAUCAACUCAAGCAAAAACAUCAACCCAAAUAAGCCAUUUACAAAACCCAUUUCCCUUCUCUCCAUGCAAGACCUCCGUAAAGGUCUAACCAUCUCAAAACCAGCAGAGAACACAGCUCUUGUAGGUACUGCCAUAGCAGGAGCUAUCUUUUCUACCUUGAGCUCAUGUGAUCCUGCCUUGGCUGCCCAACAAAUUGCAGAAAUAGCUGCAGAUGGAGACAACCGUGGCUUAGCACUCUUACUUCCCAUAAUACUAGCCAUAGCUUGGGUGCUAUUCAACAUCCUGCAGCCAGCACUUAACCAACUGGACCGUAUGAGGGAGACCAAGGGGGUGAUAAUUGGGCUCGGGCUUGGUGGAUUGGCUGCAUCAGGAUUCAUGUCAGCCCCAGAGGCAUCAGCAAGUGAAAUUGCCAUGAUUGCUGAUGCAACAAAUGACAAUAGGGGUCAGCUUCUGUUGUUUGU